GGAAUCCAAUUGAAGUUAUUAUAGGAAUUGAAAAGUCGGGAAAUAUAACCAAUUUAUAUAGUAUUAGCCUGUUAGGCUGUGUAGUUCUCUUUUUUAUUUUGCAAAUGCAUGCCUUGUUAUACUUGCACUAUUGUUAAUAUACCCAAAAAAAUCAAAAUUAACAAGAUGGGAGUGAAAAUUGUUUAUUUUAUCAUUUAAUCCUAACUUCUCACCCUAUCUAAUGCUUCCUCAUCUCACCUGACACUAAGGCAAGUUAGCAUCCCUUCACCAGCAGCUUUCCAGCUCUCAACAGGAACUGUCUGCUCCUCCACUUGUCUGUUGCUAAGCAAAGGCCCUCCAGCAGCCCUUCAGCAGUUGUCCGACAGUCAACAGCCAUCCAAUAGCAGCAUCUAUUUUUCUUAUUCUUCCUCCUCUUGAGGCUCUUACCUUCAUCAUUUUCUCUUUUCUUAUUUUAUUUUAUUAUUUUCUUGUCUUAUUCUUCUUCUUCUUUUCUUUUUUCUUUUAAAUUGUGCUUUUCUCUUCCUCCUCUUCCUUUUCCCCUUCCAUUAUGAA
RNAcentral lists this long non-coding RNA (552 nucleotides) under Phoenix dactylifera (date palm). RNAcentral's name for it is "long non-coding RNA (PDAC_LNC021892)". Lineage: Eukaryota; Viridiplantae; Streptophyta; Magnoliopsida; Arecales; Arecaceae. The record is from RNAcentral.